GGGUGGUGUAAUUCUACCUGAUUCCUCCAGGGGCCUAUAACAGUUAGCCUCAUGGGAAGUUUGACGCUCUGCCCACUGUCCAGAGCAGCUGACGCUAUCCAAUAAUAGUACACCAUAACAAACAAAAUGCCAAACAAGUUGGGAAAAAUACCCAUUACAGCAUCCUUGCCUCAAACAUAUCCCUCUGUACAUCUCUUACAUCCCAGUGAUAUGAAUGUGAAAAAUCAAAUUAAGGGAAAAAAAUGUCACUGCUUCAAGGGAACACACCCAAAAAAAAAAAUCUGCAACUGCCAAAGUGCUUUAUAAGCAUUUACAGUUUGGUCACAAAAAAUGGGAAUU
Molecule: long non-coding RNA, 339 nt
Organism: Etheostoma cragini (Arkansas darter)
Lineage: Eukaryota; Metazoa; Chordata; Actinopteri; Perciformes; Percidae
Exons: 2
Source: RefSeq, a predicted model, not a curated record